ACACCGGCAGCUCUAGUGGUAGCUGUUUUUAUUGGGCCUAAAGCGUUCGUAGCCGGUUUGAUAAGUCACUGGUGAAAUCCUGUAGCUUAACUGUGGGAAUUGCUGGUGAUACUGUUGAACUUGAGGUCGGGAGAGGUUAGCGGUACUCCCAGGGUAGAGGUGAAAUUCUGUAAUCCUGGGAGGACCACCUGUGGCGAAGGCGGCUAACUGGAACGAACCUGACGGUGAGGGACGAAAGCUAGGGGCGCGAACCGGAUUAGAUACCCGGGUAGUCCUAGCCGUAAACGAUGCGGACUUGGUGUUGGGAUGGCUUUGAGCCGCUCCGGUGCCGAAGGGAAGCUGUUAAGUCCGCCGCCUGGGAAGUACGGUCGCAAGACUGAAACUUAAAUGAAUUGGCGGGG
RNAcentral lists this ribosomal RNA (401 nucleotides) under uncultured bacterium. RNAcentral's name for it is "partial 16S ribosomal RNA". It matches the Rfam family "Archaeal small subunit ribosomal RNA", at positions 473 to 873 of the family's 1478-position model. The record is from RNAcentral.